Molecule: ribosomal RNA, 513 nt
Filed under: Escherichia coli
Lineage: Bacteria; Pseudomonadati; Pseudomonadota; Gammaproteobacteria; Enterobacterales; Enterobacteriaceae
Description: partial 23S ribosomal RNA
Rfam family: Bacterial large subunit ribosomal RNA
Source: RNAcentral
CGUUCUGUAAGCCUGUGAAGGUGUACUGUGAGGUAUGCUGGAGGUAUCAGAAGUGCGAAUGCUGACAUAAGUAACGAUAAAGCGGGUGAAAAGCCCGCUCGCCGGAAGACCAAGGGUUCCUGUCCAACGUUAAUCGGGGCAGGGUGAGUCGACCCCUAAGGCGAGGCCGAAAGGCGUAGUCGAUGGGAAACAGGUUAAUAUUCCUGUACUUGGUGUUACUGCGAAGGGGGGACGGAGAAGGCUAUGUUGGCCGGGCGACGGUUGUCCCGGUUUAAGCGUGUAGGCUGGUUUUCCAGGCAAAUCCGGAAAAUCAAGGCUGAGGCGUGAUGACGAGGCACUACGGUGCUGAAGCAACAAAUGCCCUGCUUCCAGGAAAAGCCUCUAAGCAUCAGGUAACAUCAAAUCGUACCCCAAACCGACACAGGUGGUCAGGUAGAGAAUACCAAGGCGCUUGAGAGAACUCGGGUGAAGGAACUAGGCAAAAUGGUGCCGUAACUUCGGGAGAAGGCACGC